GCCUUCGUGGUGUAGUGGUCAGCACGCUCGACGCGUAUUCGAGAGGUCCCUGGUUCGAGUCCCAACGAGGUCA
Non-coding RNA from Stegodyphus mimosarum, 73 nucleotides. Lineage: Eukaryota; Metazoa; Arthropoda; Arachnida; Araneae; Eresidae. The record is from Rfam.